RNAcentral lists this ribosomal RNA (1096 nucleotides) under Neovaginatispora fuckelii. RNAcentral's name for it is "eukaryotic LSU rRNA". The stretch from base 485 to 1096 matches the Rfam family "Eukaryotic large subunit ribosomal RNA", at positions 1 to 624 of the family's 3401-position model. Lineage: Eukaryota; Fungi; Ascomycota; Dothideomycetes; Pleosporales; Lophiostomataceae. The record is from RNAcentral.
UGACCUGCGGAAGGAUCAUUAUUGUGGGGACCUCGGUCCUUCCAAGAUGCAACCCUUGCCUUUUUCAAGCGUCUCUCUGUUUCCUCGGCAGCUGCGCCUGCCAGCGAGGACCCUUAAAAACCUUUUGCAAUCCCCGUACAAACUUCUGAAAAUACCAAAAAAACGUUAAAACUUUCAACAAUGGAUCUCUUGGCUCUGGCAUCGAUGAAGAACGCAGCGAAAUGCGAUAAGUAGUGUGAAUUGCAGAAUUCAGUGAAUCAUCGAAUCUUUGAACGCACAUUGCGCCCUUUGGUAUUCCUUUGGGCAUGCCUGUUCGAGCGUCAUUUCAAAAUUCAAGCUCAGCUUGGUGAUGGGCGUCUGUCCCGCCAUCGUGCGCGGACUCGCCUCAAAAGCAGUUGGCAGCUCCCCACUCGGCUCUAAACGCAGCAGAUUUGCGUGGCGUGGCGAGGAGAGGGGCUUACCAGUAAGCAAAACCACCCCAGAUUGACCUCGGAUCAGGUAGGGAUACCCGCUGAACUUAAGCAUAUCAAUAAGCGGAGGAAAAGAAACCAACAGGGAUUGCCCUAGUAACGGCGAGUGAAGCGGCAACAGCUCAAAUUUGAAAUCUGGCUCUCUUGCGGGGUCCGAGUUGUAAUUUGCAGAGGGUGCUUUGGCGUCGGCUGUGGUCUAAGUUCCUUGGAACAGGACGUCGCAGAGGGUGAGAAUCCCGUAUGUGGCCGCCAGCCUUCGCCGUGUAAAGCCCCUUCGACGAGUCGAGUUGUUUGGGAAUGCAGCUCUAAAUGGGAGGUAAAUUUCUUCUAAAGCUAAAUAUCUGCCAGAGACCGAUAGCGCACAAGUAGAGUGAUCGAAAGAUGAAAAGCACUUUGGAAAGAGAGUCAAAAAGCACGUGAAAUUGUUGAAAGGGAAGCGCUUGCAGUUAGACAUGCCUUUAGUUGCUCAGCCAGGCUCUUCGGCCUGGUGCACUCUUCUAUCGGCAGGCCAGCAUCAGUCUGGGCGGUUGGAUAAAGGCCUAUUAAACGUGACUCCCCUCGGGGAGAGCUUAUAGGGUAGGCGCCAUGCAACCAGUCCAGACUGAGGUCCGCGCAUCUGCUAGGAU